UCAGGAACGCCUAUUGCCGAUGUAGCCAGA
RNAcentral lists this non-coding RNA (30 nucleotides) under Rattus norvegicus (Norway rat). The record is from RNAcentral. Lineage: Eukaryota; Metazoa; Chordata; Mammalia; Rodentia; Muridae.